This is a non-coding RNA of Dendryphion nanum, 127 nucleotides long. NCBI's taxonomy places the organism in Eukaryota, Fungi, Ascomycota, Dothideomycetes, Pleosporales, Torulaceae. The record is from the annotation of a GenBank genome assembly.
GGGCUUGUGGUUUAGUGGUAGUAAGUUCAUUCUAUAGAUGUCCGGCCGUAGCCACAGCUUCUAACAACUCAUCAGUAAUUUUCCCUUAGCAUGGGAAAGGUCCUGGGUUCGAUUCCCAGCAAGUCCA